Non-coding RNA from Rhodocollybia butyracea, 83 nucleotides. Lineage: Eukaryota; Fungi; Basidiomycota; Agaricomycetes; Agaricales; Omphalotaceae. The record is from the annotation of a GenBank genome assembly.
GGGGGUAUAGCUCAAUUGGGAGAGCAGCAGACUGAAGUAAAGGUUUAAUCUGAAGGUCCCGCGUUCGAUCCGCGGUACCCCCA